This 611-nucleotide ribosomal RNA is filed under the name Ogataea populi-albae. RNAcentral describes it as "LSU rRNA". It matches the Rfam family "Eukaryotic large subunit ribosomal RNA", at positions 62 to 694 of the family's 3401-position model. Lineage: Eukaryota; Fungi; Ascomycota; Pichiomycetes; Pichiales; Pichiaceae. The record is from RNAcentral.
UACAGAACACGGAAUGCCUUAGUAGCGGCGAGUGAAGCGGCAAGAGCUCAAAUUUGAAAUCUGGUACCUUCGGUGCCCGAGUUGUAAUUUGAAGAAAGCAAUCUUUGAUUUGGCCCUUGUCUAUGUUCCUUGGAACAGGACGUCACAGAGGGUGAGAAUCCCGUGCGAUGAGGUGUCCAUUUCUUUGUAAGAUGUUUUCGAAGAGUCGAGUUGUUUGGGAAUGCAGCUCAAAGUGGGUGGUAAAUUCCAUCUAAAGCUAAAUAUUGGCGAGAGACCGAUAGCGAACAAGUACUGUGAAGGAAAGAUGAAAAGAACUUUGAAAAGAGAGUGAAAAAGUACGUGAAAUUGUUGAAAGGGAAGGGUAUUCGAUCAGACUUGGUAUUUAGCUAUCAUUAAUUUUCGUGAUUGGUGCUCUAGCUUUUUACUGGGCCAGCAUCAGUUCUGGUGGCAAGAUAAUUACAGUUGAAUGUGGCUCCUCGGAGUGUUAUAGCUUCUGUAGAUAUUGCCUACUGGGACUGAGGUCUGCGGCUUUGCCUAGGAUGCUGGCGUAAUGAUCUAAUACCGCCCGUCUUGAAACAUGGACCAAGGAGUCUAACGUCUAUGCGAGUGUU